CCCUUAGAUGUUCUGGGCUGCACACGUGCUACACUGGCAGGUUCAGCGAGCUUCAUGCCCUGAUCUGAAAGGAAUGGGAAAUCUUUUCAAAACCUGCCGUGCUUGGGAUAGAUGUUUGCAAUUAUUCAUCUUCAACGAGGAUUGCCUUGUAAGCGCACGUCAUCAGCGUGCAUUGAAUACGACCCUGUAUUCUGUACACACCGCCCGUCGCUCCUACCGAUUGAAGUUUUCGGUGAGUUGACAGGAGGAUUUUUUUGAAGCUGGUUCGCCAGUGGAUUUUAGAUCCAAAUGCCAACGAAUCGAUGGCUUUAGAGGAAGGAGAAGUCGUAACA
This 332-nucleotide ribosomal RNA is filed under the name uncultured eukaryote. Its description in RNAcentral is "partial 18S ribosomal RNA". It matches the Rfam family "Eukaryotic small subunit ribosomal RNA", at positions 1470 to 1796 of the family's 1831-position model. The record is from RNAcentral.